Molecule: ribosomal RNA, 497 nt
Filed under: uncultured bacterium
Lineage: Bacteria
Description: partial 16S ribosomal RNA
Rfam family: Bacterial small subunit ribosomal RNA
Source: RNAcentral
GAUGAACGCUGGCGGCGUGCCUAAUACAUGCAAGUCGAGCGAACAGACGAGGAGCUUGCUCCUCUGACGUUAGCGGCGGACGGGUGAGUAACACGUGGAUAACCUACCUAUAAGACUGGGAUAACUUCGGGAAACCGGAGCUAAUACCGGAUAAUAUAUUGAACCGCAUGGUUCAAUAGUGAAAGACGGUUUUGCUUUCACUUAUAGAUGGAUCCGCGCCGCAUUAGCUAGUUGGUAAGGUAACGGCUUACCAAGGCGACGAUGCGUAGCCGACCUGAGAGGGUGAUCGGCCACACUGGAACUGAGACACGGUCCAGACUCCUACGGGAGGCAGCAGUAGGGAAUCUUCCGCAAAGGGCGAAAGCCUGACGGAGCAACGCCGCGUGAGUGAUGAAGGUCUUCGGAUCGUAAAACUCUGUUAUUAGGGAAGAACAAAUGUGUAAGUAACUAUGCACGUCUUGACGGUACCUAAUCAGAAAGCCACGGCUAACUACGUG